GGCGAGCGAACGGGGAGCAGCCCAGAGCCUGAAUCAGUGUGUGUGUUAGUGGAAGCGUCUGGAAAGGCGUGCGAUACAGGGUGACAGCCCCGUACACAAAAAUGCACAUGCUGUGAGCUCGAUGAGUAGGGCGGGACACGUGGUAUCCUGUCUGAAUAUGGGGGGACCAUCCUCCAAGGCUAAAUACUCCUGACUGACCGAUAGUGAACCAGUACCGUGAGGGAAAGGCGAAAAGAACCCCGGCGAGGGGAGUGAAAAAGAACCUGAAACCGUGUACGUACAAGCAGUGGGAGCACAGACAAUCUGUGUGACUGCGUACCUUUUGUAUAAUGGGUCAGCGACUUAUAUUCUGUAGCAAGGUUAACCGAAUAGGGGAGCCGAAGGGAAACCGAGUCUUAACUGGGCGUUAAGUUGCAGGGUAUAGACCCGAAACCCGGUGAUCUAGCCAUGGGCAGGUUGAAGGUUGGGUAACACUAACUGGAGGACCGAACCGACUAAUGUUGAAAAAUUAGCGGAUGACUUGUGGCUGGGGGUGAAAGGCCAAUCAAACCGGGAGAUAGCUGGUUCUCCCCGAAAGCUAUUUAGGUAGCGCCUCGUGAAUUCAUCUCCGGGGGUAGAGCACUGUUUCGGCAAGGGGGUCAUCCCGACUUACCAACCCGAUGCAAACUGCGAAUACCGGAGAAUGUUAUCACGGGAGACACACGGCGGGUGCUAACGUCCGUCGUGAAGAGGGAAACAACCCAGACCGCCAGCUAAGGUCCCAAAGUCAUGGUUAAGUGGGAAACGAUGUGGGAAGGCCCAGACAGCCAGGAUGUUGGCUUAGAAGCAGCCAUCAUUUAAAGAAAGCGUAAUAGCUCACUGGUCGAGUCGGCCUGCGCGGAAGAUGUAACGGGGCUAAACCAUGCACCGAAGCUGCGGCAGCGACGCUGAUGCGUUGUUGGGUAGGGGAGCGUUCUGUAAGCCUGUGAAGGUGUACUGUGAGGUAUGCUGGAGGUAUCAGAAGUGCGAAUGCUGACAUAAGUAACGAUAAAGCGGGUGAAAAGCCCGCUCGCC
Molecule: ribosomal RNA, 1053 nt
Filed under: Escherichia coli
Lineage: Bacteria; Pseudomonadati; Pseudomonadota; Gammaproteobacteria; Enterobacterales; Enterobacteriaceae
Description: bacterial LSU rRNA
Rfam family: Bacterial large subunit ribosomal RNA
Source: RNAcentral